GACGAACGCUGGCGGCGUGCUUAACACAGGCAAGUCGAACGCUGAAGCUCAGCUUUUGUUGGGUGGAUGAGUGGCGAACGGGUGAGUAACACGUGAGUAACCUGCCUCCUUCUUUGGGAUAACGCCCGGAAACGGGUGCUAAUACUGGAUAUUCGCUGGUCUUCGCCUGGGGGUGGGUGGAAAGGGGUUUUCUGGUGGGGGAUGGGCUCGCGGCCUAUCAGGUUGUUGGUGGGGUGAUGGCGUACCAAGGCUUUGACGGGUAGCCGGCCUGAGAGGGUGACCGGUGCCACUGGCCCUGAGCUACGGCCCAGCCCCACCCGCCAGGCCGUAGUGGGGAGUCUUGCGCGAUGCGCGCAAGCAUGAGCCAGCUACGCCCCGUGAGCGAUGGAUGUUGCCGGGUUGUGAACCGGUUGCGAUUACGGUCCAGCCGACCAAAUGUUUGUUGUGCGGUUCCUGGGUAAAGAAGCGCCGGCUAACUACCUG
Molecule: ribosomal RNA, 483 nt
Filed under: uncultured bacterium
Lineage: Bacteria
Description: partial 16S ribosomal RNA
Rfam family: Bacterial small subunit ribosomal RNA
Source: RNAcentral